GCAGCUGUGUGUUAGGGCUAGGAUGGCUCCUGGAUGCGCGUGACGCAAGUGACCUUGCGUGUAAAGGGAUACAUGAUCCCUUAAUUCAGGCUCAGGCUGAAGAACUGACCCACUUACAACAGAAGAUACAGGAAGGGAGAGGUGUCUGCUACCUUUUCACCCAGCAUGUGAAGAACACAGUCAAGUCUUUUGAGGGCCUUCUCAGGAACACUGACAUUGCCUACUACCAGAGACAGAGAUUCUGUGAGCAAAUGGUACAAGGAAGCCAGCUGACAGAGAUCCUUGUCAGAAAACUUGCCACAGGCACACUUUACUCCCAGUCAAAAGUGGACUGUAUACUUCCUCUUUGAUGUGAUGGUCCCUUUGGUUUUGGUGCCUCUUCCAUGAGCUUCAGAUCAGAACUAGCUAUGUGGUUCCAGGCUGCCUUGGUUUAAUCCCUUGUCUUGCCUACUUCACCUGGCUCAAGAGGGAAGUCCAGGAGGAAGAAAUGGAUGAAGUCCUGGAGUACUCACUAGAUGAACAGUAUUUGACUCAUUCCAGCUGCCAUGACUCCCACCAGCUUCCCAGCAGCAAUGCCUUCCUCUUUGAUGCACAGGAAGGCCCCUCGGCUGUGGAAACAGCCAAAGAUGAGAUCCAGAGCCAGUGGCAGCACCUGAAGGAGACCCUUUUCAUCAACAACUGCCUGUGAGAAAAGCUAGAACGUCAUCACAGCAGCUUUGAUGAAGAAAAUGGUAGGAGAGGCCCAAGCAAAUCAUAGAUUCCAUUGUCCAGCUGUAUAAUGAAAACAGAGUUCUCAGAGAAGAAUACCGGAGACUCUCCCGACUUGCCUGAAUCAAAUUUCCAGAGGUAA
RNAcentral lists this long non-coding RNA (850 nucleotides) under Homo sapiens (human). RNAcentral's name for it is "non-protein coding lnc-PPIAL4A-2:14". The record is from RNAcentral. Lineage: Eukaryota; Metazoa; Chordata; Mammalia; Primates; Hominidae.